UUCCUACGGGGGGCAGCAGUGGGGGAUAUUGCACAAUGGGGGAAACCCUGAUGCAGCAACGCCGCGUGAGUGAAGAAGGUCUUCGGAUUGUAAAGCUCUGUUCUUGGUGAAAGCAAUGACGGUACCUGACCAAGAAGCCCCGGCUAACUACGUGCCAGCAGCCGCGGUAAUACGUAGGGGGCAAGCGUUAUCCGGAAUUACUGGGUGUAAAGGGAGCGUAGACGGCUGUGCAAGUCUGGAGUGAAAGGCGGGGGCCCAACCCCCGGACUGCUCUGGAAACUGUAUGGCUGGAGUGCAGGAGAGGG
RNAcentral lists this ribosomal RNA (305 nucleotides) under uncultured bacterium. Its description in RNAcentral is "partial 16S ribosomal RNA". It matches the Rfam family "Bacterial small subunit ribosomal RNA", at positions 336 to 658 of the family's 1533-position model. The record is from RNAcentral.